Molecule: long non-coding RNA, 3810 nt
Filed under: Homo sapiens (human)
Lineage: Eukaryota; Metazoa; Chordata; Mammalia; Primates; Hominidae
Description: non-protein coding HAGLR:30
Source: RNAcentral
AGACAGCUGACGAAGGCGCCGUCGCCGUUGCCCAGAGGGAAGGCGGGCUGCAGAGCCACGGGCCGGGCGUCGGAGCGGCAGAACUUGGGUGCCAAGCUGAGCACGUCGCCGCCGACCCCGCCGCUGCUGCUGCAUGACACGUACUCCAGAUCUGGGGACCCUUCACCUGCCUCUACUACUGCAAAUGAUUGGAUAUUCGUCUGACUUGGCUCUUCCCUAAUGUGUGGAACUAAUUUUGUUCACUCUGUUUCAUGCUGGACCUGGCCUGAAAAUGGGCCCUUAUAUUGUCUUUGCACUUUCCAACUUGCCAAGUUUCUGAAAGAAGGACCAAAGUAAUGCCAAGAACUCCCAGAUGAAGAGGACCUUCCUUAGACCUAUAACAGAUUCACUACUUGACUUCAGAGGGAAGUUUCAGCUAAUUCUCAGGAAAAGGUCAAAACAGGCCUGUGACUGUCCCUUGAAUACUGAAGGUAUAAACAAGCUUCUGGCUCCUCCAGGUCAAGCAGAGGAACACUUUUAUUAGAAUGAAGGGUUACUUCUUUGUUAUUCAAACACACACCCACACACAUCCUCUGUAGUCUCCCUAAUGAAAAACCUCAACAGAUGGAGAGCCUGAGCUCCCAAGUCCGCAGGCUGAGAAGAUGCACUUCACUCAAGGGCCAGUGGGCUGGUACAGACUAGGGAAGAGAAAAGGGACAAAGGCUGCUAGUAUAGGUAAUCACUAUCUUUUAAUACUCCUAACACAUAGAAAUUCGAAAAAUCUUGUUCAGCAAUGUUAGCAGCCUGUGAGCCUCGGAAACUAAUUUGGCUGAUGUGUCUCUGAUAGGGAGCUUGGGGCUGCACCAAGGGGAAACAUUCUCCUCCUGUAUUCUCUCCUCUCUCUCGUUUGAAAGCCUGUACAAAGAAAUGGUACAAAUGGAUGGUUAACUUAAUGAUUCCAUCAGAGGCAGAUUUUUCUCUGUCAGGUCCCUGGAUAAGGUGGAGGUCUGAAAGCCAGGAGACAGAAUAUGUACUUAAUCGCCCUUUCUGACCUGCUUACCAGUGACCAGGACUACUCUCCAGGCCUUUCUUCUGCCACUUCCCCAUUCUUCCUGGCUAGUUCAGUUGGGUCUCAGCACUUCAACUCCUGGCUGGAUCCUGAGUUUUUCUUGGUUGCAGGGAAAGCUCUCACUGUCUGCAUCUCCUUCCCCACCCCCACCUCCCGUUUUGCAGCUGGCCAUUCUGGCUGCCUCACAGCUAUCCUGCCUUAAUUCAUAUUUGAUUGCCUGGACAGAACCACCUAGAAUGUCCAGACGACUGCCACCCCUCAGCCAUGGGCCUGAGAUCCUGCCCUGACCCCUUUCUUCAGACCCCAGGAGGACCCACAAUCUCCCUGAUCCCCACCUUCCCCAAAGUAGUCUCUAGGAAAAAAGCAGAGCUGGCUAAGGCCUGAGACAGAGCCAUUUCUUCCCCUUGGGCAAACGAGGUAGACCCUCCCAGAGACCAAUGCCGGAGAGGCCCGGAUCCGAGCUCCCUUUAUAUGGCCUCCCCCAUCACGGAUCCCGUGGGAAAACCUGACACACAAUGGCGCGGCUGCUCCGGGCACCCUCAACCCAGCGCCCUGCGGCAAGGCCUGGAGCAGCCUGGUGGUCUUGGUGCGCUCCCUUUGCCCUCCCCGCAACCCUCUGCGAGCACUCGUCCCAGGAGAGAGACCCUGGCUAGGGUGGAGGUUGCCUCCCGCAAAGGGCGCUGUUGCUGGGGCCUCCCCUCCCCCAUUCUCUUGUUUUUCUGCUUCUGAGACUCGGGAGGGAGGCGGCAGGCGCCUCCGCAGCCGAUAGAGCAGCUAUUGUGACCUUCCCUUGCAGAGCGGGAACCCAGCCGAGUGUGUACCGCCGGCGGUGGCGGGGGAGGAGGCGACUGUGUGUGCAAACCUCAGUCGGAGAGGGGGUGGCGCUGGGAAAUAAAGGUUUGCAACCUCAGGCAGUUGGGCCCUUCAGAGGGCGUUUGGUUGUGUUUAGACUCGGUUGCUUUCUAACACUAAUUGCAGGCUCAAAAGGAGCGGAAUUUAUUGCGAAGGCCAAGGCGGCUUGUUUAUAAUUUAUGAAGUUUUAAAUGGCUGUGCCGCGGGCCCCAACUUUCUCCUGGGCUGGCAGCCGCGCGGAAACGCGCCCUCCCCCGGCUCGCCGCCCACCCCCACCCACGCCCCUCAGAUGAGUCUCACGCCAAUGGCAGGAACAGAUCCGAGCUAUUAGAAGUCUCGGGAACCUCCAGAGAUGACAGAAGGUGGCAGAUUUGGUCCAAGCCCUCACCCCACUCGAGAGGAGGGCGUCGGGGAAAGCUGUGGCUGCCUGGAGAGGGAGCCCCUGAUCCCACACUUCCUUGGAGCCUGAGUGUGAGAGGAAGCUAAUGUCAGCCGGGCUAGACACCGUUUAAAGUCUAAUCCAUGAAACCCUAAGCCGCAAAUGACACUUGGGGCUUUGCAGACACCCGCAGACUCAGCAGAUACUCCUGCGGUAACACACUGUGCUGGAAAACGCCUGGAGCCAUGACACAUUACGUAUUUUUAUUAUUAUUUAUGGUAGGAAGAGGAGAUGAGGGAAAAUCGGGCUGAAUCUAAGCAGCCUGACAAUUCAGCUAGUUAAUAUUUAGCCAGUUAAGAAAGGUGGUUGUAAUCCCUGCAAGGCAGUGAGCUCUCCUUUGAUUUCUCUAAUAGCUUAAAAAAUAAUUUCUUACAAGACAAUUAGAAAUUCUGCCUAUGGAUGCAAAUUUCAUAGAAAACAAUGUUAAGCCUUGAAAGUGGGUAAAAUGUGCCUUCGAUUGAAGUCAUUUAUUCUGUUGAUACACUUCUACAACAUAUAUAUUUUAAACCUGCUCAGAUAAAGUGAAAUUUAGCAAAAGGAUAUCCCCUCCCACCCCCAAAUCUAACAUGCCAUUUUAAAAACAGCACAAAGGAACAAGGAAACUAAAUAUUAUUUUGAGCCAUCAUUACUUAGUGAAAUACAAACAUCCAAAUAGAAACGAUUGUUGUUCCACCAGAAGAUUAGAAGUUAAAUUAUUUCCACACAAUAGGAAUUUCACUUCGUGUCAUCGGGGAUGUAGUAGGAGUUGCAUUAUUUGUCAAACCAAAUAGAGAUGCGUGGGCUGACUUUGCUGAAAUACAAAAGAAUUGAACCUUAUCUGAAGGCGUUUUCUAAGUGGCCCCUCCCAUAGAAGCCGGGAAGUUGUCCACCCCUAGCAGAAGCCACAUUAAUAUUUACAAAAUGGUUAUAAAUCCUUGAAGACAUUUUUGCCCAUUUUGUAUAAGAAACAGGAGUAAACAAGGUGUUUAUACUUGUUAUGUUUCAUUAAUGAAAUAUUAUUACUUUACAUCUUGGGGAAUGUUUGUUUUCUUUAGAAAUGAACUAAUGAUCACUACAAAGGAAGAAUUCAUGACAGCAUUUCCUAGAGAAAAAGCUUAGGUACGCGUCUCCAAAUGAUGGUUUCUUUUUCUACACCUUAGCUUUUUCAUAGCUCAAUUCUUCUUACAACUUCUCUUGUGUUUUUUCUUUGAUUGUCAGUUUUCUUUCAAAGUUUAUUUUUUGUUACUUAAUGCAGAAAAGUGAGCUCUGGUCUCCCCAGUGUAAAAGUCGAUUGUGUCUAGAAAGAAGGCAGUAAAAACAGCAAAGCAGGCGCUGCUUUCAAAAAGCCCUGCCCAAAUCAUCCCGCCCAGAACCUUCUUAGGUUUGCAUCCUCAUUUCCCCCUCCCCUAAUUUCAAUAGCUGGAAAGUAAUCAAGUAUCCCGAGAACCAAUUUAUGCACUAGACUCCAAAUAAAUAAAAUAUUUUUUUCAAA